Molecule: ribosomal RNA, 454 nt
Filed under: Roeseliana roeselii
Lineage: Eukaryota; Metazoa; Arthropoda; Insecta; Orthoptera; Tettigoniidae
Description: partial 16S ribosomal RNA
Rfam family: Bacterial large subunit ribosomal RNA
Source: RNAcentral
UUUAACAAAAACAUGUCCUUUUGAGUGGUAUUUAAGGUCGGGCCUGCCCACUGAUAUUAAUUGAAGGGCCGCGGUAUUUUGACCGUGCAAAGGUAGCAUAAUCAUUAGUCUUUUAAUUGAGGGCUAGAAUGAAUGGUUUGACGAAAUAUUGACUGUCUCUUUAUAAUAAGUGGAAUUUAACUUCUGAGUCAAAAGGCUUAGAUGAAUAUAGAAGACGAGAAGACCCUAUAGAUCUUUAUAUGAUAAAUAUAAUUAUUAAUUUGGUUGUAUUAAUUAUGAUUGUAUUAUUAUAUUUUGUUGGGGUGACAUGAAGAUAAGAAUAACUCUUUAUACUAAGUACAUUGAUUUAUGGAUAAUUGAUCCGUUAUUAACGAUUAUAAGAUAAAGUUACCUUAGGGAUAACAGCGUAAUUUUUUUUGAGAGUUCUUAUCGACAAAAAAGAUUGCGACCUCGA